GCCUACUAACAUAUUUAUGCCACUUCCUCACAAUUAAAAAUAAGUAAAACAUUUUUGCUUUCAAGUAGAGGUGAUCGAAAAAACACUUAGAGCUUUAGAAACAGUACCGCAAGGGAAAGAUGAAAUAAAAAUGAAACAAAUCCCAAGUAUAUAAUAUUAGAGACUACAACUCGUACCUUUUGCAUCAUGGUUUAACUAGUCUAAUCAAGCAAAAUGAAAUUUCAGUUUGCACCCCCGAAACUAAGCGAGCUACUUCAAAACAGCCAAAAGAGCUAACCCGUCUCUGUAGCAAUAGAGUGGGAAGAUUUUCAAGUAGAGGCGAUAAACCUACCGAGCUUAGAGAUAGCUGGUUAUUCAAGAAAAGAAUUUUAGUUCCCCCUUAAACACAAUUAUGUUCACAAACAACAUCAAAGAUUUAAGAGUUAUUCAAUUAAGGCACAGCUUAUUUGAAAAAGGAUACAACCUACAUAAAUGGGUAAACACCAAAAAAUAUAAUAAGUAGGCCUGAAAGCAGCCACCUUUAUAAAAGCGUUAAAGCUUAAUAUAAUUACCUAAUUAAAUUCCACUAUUUAUUAUGAACCCUUAUUAAUUAUUGAAUGACCCCAUAACAAUAUGGAUACCAUUAUGUUAAAACUAGUAACACGAAUAUAAAAUUCUCCAAAAUGUAAACAUAGACCAAAAAUGGAUAAACCAUUGGUAUUUAACGAAUUUGAACCCUUAUAGAAAAACCACAAGAAAAUCCUAUAUAAAACCUUCAUCGUUAACCUUACACCAGAACAUUUAUGGAAAGAUUAAAAGAGAAAGAAGGAACUCGGCAAAUUUCAACCCCGCCUGUUUACCAAAAACAUCGCCUCUUGCUUAAUAUAAGAGGUCUAGCCUGCCCAGUGAAAUUUUAACGGCCGCGGUACUCUGACCGUGCGAAGGUAGCAUAAUCACUCGUUCUUUAAAUAGGGACUUGUAUCAAUGGCAUCACGAGGGUUGCACUGUCUCCUCUCUCCAAUCAGUGAAUCUAAUCUUCCCGUGAAGAAGCGGGAAUGUAAAUAUAAGACGAGAAGACCCCAUGGAGCUUUAAACCUUAUGGCAAUUUAAAUUAAACAAUUCCUUAUAUAUUUUAAAUAAUGCAUGAAGGUUUUAGGUUGGGGUGACCGCGGAGCAUAAAAUAACCUCCACAACGAAAAGACCUAAAUCUUUAUCCAAGAAUUACUAUUCUAAGAAUCAGAAUACUGAUGAAAAGUGACCCGAUAAUCGAUCAAUGGACCAAGUUACCCUGGGGAUAACAGCGCAAUCUACUUUAAGAGCUCAUAUCGACAAGUAGGCUUACGACCUCGAUGUUGGAUCAGGGUAUCCCAGUGGUGCAACCGCUACUAAUGGUUCGUUUGUUCAACGAUUAAAACC
RNAcentral lists this ribosomal RNA (1395 nucleotides) under Chiromantis xerampelina (African gray treefrog). RNAcentral describes it as "partial 16S rRNA". It matches the Rfam family "Bacterial large subunit ribosomal RNA", at positions 171 to 2595 of the family's 2925-position model. The record is from RNAcentral. Lineage: Eukaryota; Metazoa; Chordata; Amphibia; Anura; Rhacophoridae.